GUUUUGUAGAGAGAGAAAAUAGACAGAAAGCUCUCCAACUUCUUCCGACCAAUAUCGGGGUAAAUCUGGACAUGUUCUUCAAAGAUGUAGAAUCUGUAAAAGACGAUCUUCAAGAGCUUAAGUCUAGGUUGCUUAUUAUUUGCUGCUCUAGCUAGCUAGGCUAGGCGAUCGUUAGAUUGGUUAAACACUUAACCAGAAUGCACAGGUCCAGGUUCGGCGUUGAGUCUCCAAAACGAUAACCUUGAUUCGAGCCGUGACCGCCCGUUCGCGUUUUGGGACGUCGGCCUGCUGUGACAUGGACGCUCUUGACCGAUAAACCAGACCACGCGGCAGCGGCUAGCUGAAGACCCGACCGAGAGUUCCGCGUGCAGGUAUUCUUUGCUCGUUUAUUUGAAACAGGUAUUUUUUAAUGUUUAUGGUUAUUAGAUGUUUAGAUGUGAUUAGGGACAAAUAGCAAACUAAUUAAAUAAAACAAAUUUAAACAUCAUCUCGAAAUAAUAUACCACGAAAUCCUUUUCCUUUUAUAACAACACGAAACAAACACGUAAAUUAUUUUUCCUAAUUUUAAAAUAAAUUAUUUUAUAUUAAAAAGUCUAAGAUAUAUAGUUGGACUAGCUAAAGUAGCCAUAUAUUUUUUUUUCUUUUUUAUUCUUGAGUUCAGUUGGAGUUAAUAUUAUGUUAUUUGAUGAUAAACUGAUCUUUACAACAACUGGUUAGUAAAGUGUUCAAUAAAGCUGAAUAAGACAUUCAAGAGAAAAUAAUUUUUUUUAUUAUUUAAUAGUAAAACAUAGUUUAUGCAAAUAUUG
Molecule: long non-coding RNA, 806 nt
Organism: Impatiens glandulifera
Lineage: Eukaryota; Viridiplantae; Streptophyta; Magnoliopsida; Ericales; Balsaminaceae
Exons: 3
Source: RefSeq, a predicted model, not a curated record